RNAcentral lists this transfer RNA (73 nucleotides) under Cricetulus griseus (Chinese hamster). It matches the Rfam family "tRNA". From Rfam's summary of the family: Transfer RNA (tRNA) molecules are approximately 80 nucleotides in length. Their secondary structure includes four short double-helical elements and three loops (D, anti-codon, and T loops). Lineage: Eukaryota; Metazoa; Chordata; Mammalia; Rodentia; Cricetidae. The record is from Rfam by way of RNAcentral.
GGGGAGAUGGCUCAAUGGGUAAGAGCACUGGCUGUUCUUCCAGAGGACCUGGGUUCAAUUUCCAGUACCCACA